CUAUGGGAGGCACCAGUGAGGAAUAUUGCACAAUGGGGGGAACCCUGAUGCAGCAACGCCGCGUGGAGGAUGACGCAUUUCGGUGUGUAAACUCCUUUUAUAUGUCAAGAAAAUGACGGUAGCAUAUGAAUAAGCACCGGCUAACUCCGUGCCAGCAGCCGCGGUAAUACGGAGGGUGCAAGCGUUACUCGGAAUCACUGGGCGUAAAGGACGCGUAGGCGGGUUGGAAAGUCAGGUGUGAAAUCCUACAGCUUAACUGUAGAACUGCACUUGAAACUUCUAAUCUAGAGUAUGGGAGGGGUAGAUGGAAUUAGUGGUGUAGGGGUAAAAUCCGUAGAUAUCACUAGGAAUACCUAAAGCGAAGGCGAUCUCCUGGAACAUUACUGACGCUAAGGCGUGAAAGCGUGGGGAGCAAACAGGAUUAGAUACCCGCGUAGUC
RNAcentral lists this ribosomal RNA (439 nucleotides) under uncultured bacterium. Its description in RNAcentral is "partial 16S ribosomal RNA". It matches the Rfam family "Bacterial small subunit ribosomal RNA", at positions 339 to 795 of the family's 1533-position model. The record is from RNAcentral.